AUUGAACGCUGGCGGCAGGCCUAACACAUGCAAGUCGAACGGUAACAGGAAACAGCUUGCUGUUUCGCUGACGAGUGGCGGACGGGUGAGUAAUGUCUGGGAAACUGCCUGAUGGAGGGGGAUAACUACUGGAAACGGUAGCUAAUACCGCAUAACGUCGCAAGACCAAAGAGGGGGACCUUCGGGCCUCUUGCCAUCGGAUGUGCCCAGAUGGGAUUAGCUAGUAGGUGGGGUAACGGCUCACCUAGGCGACGAUCCCUAGCUGGUCUGAGAGGAUGACCAGCCACCCUGGAACUGAGACACGGUCCAGACUCCUACGGGAGGCAGCAGUGGGGAAUAUUGCACAAUGGGCGCAAGCCUGAUGCAGCCAUGCCGCGUGUAUGAAGAAGGCCUUCGGGUUGUAAAGUACUUUCAGCGGGGAUGAAGGGAGUAAAGUUAAUACCUUUGCUCAUUGACGUUACCCGCAGAAGAAGCACCGGCUAACUCCGUG
RNAcentral lists this ribosomal RNA (490 nucleotides) under uncultured bacterium. Its description in RNAcentral is "partial 16S ribosomal RNA". It matches the Rfam family "Bacterial small subunit ribosomal RNA", at positions 30 to 507 of the family's 1533-position model. The record is from RNAcentral.